This 254-nucleotide ribosomal RNA is filed under the name uncultured bacterium. RNAcentral describes it as "partial 16S ribosomal RNA". It matches the Rfam family "Bacterial small subunit ribosomal RNA", at positions 524 to 777 of the family's 1533-position model. The record is from RNAcentral.
UACAGGGGGGGCAAGCGUUGUUCGGAAUUACUGGGCGUAAAGGGCCAGUAGGCGGCCAACUAAGUCACACGUGAAAUCCCCAGGCUUAACCUGGGAACUGCGUGUGAUACUGGAUGGCUUGAAUUCGGGAGAGGGAUGCAGAAUUCCAGGUGUAGCGGUGAAAUGCGUAGAUAUCUGGAGGAAUACCGGUGGCGAAGGCGGCAUCCUGGACCGAGAUUGACGCUGAGGCGCGAAAGCUAGGGGAGCAAACGGGG